This 454-nucleotide ribosomal RNA is filed under the name Halomonas sp. LR-68. Its description in RNAcentral is "bacterial SSU rRNA". It matches the Rfam family "Bacterial small subunit ribosomal RNA", at positions 20 to 490 of the family's 1533-position model. The record is from RNAcentral. Lineage: Bacteria; Pseudomonadati; Pseudomonadota; Gammaproteobacteria; Oceanospirillales; Halomonadaceae.
UGGCUCAGAUUGAACGCUGGCGGCAGGCCUAACACAUGCAAGUCGAGCGGUAACAGAUGUAGCUUGCUAGAUGCUGACGAGCGGCGGACGGGUGAGUAAUGCAUAGGAAUCUACCCGGUAGUGGGGGAUAACCUGGGGAAACCCAGGCUAAUACCGCAUACGUCCUACGGGAGAAAGGGGGCUCCGGCUCCCGCUAUCGGAUGAGCCUAUGUCGGAUUAGCUAGUUGGUGAGGUAAUGGCUCACCAAGGCAACGAUCCGUAGCUGGUCUGAGAGGAUGAUCAGCCACAUCGGGACUGAGACACGGCCCGAACUCCUACGGGAGGCAGCAGUGGGGAAUAUUGGACAAUGGGCGAAAGCCUGAUCCAGCCAUGCCGCGUGUGUGAAGAAGGCCUUCGGGUUGUAAAGCACUUUCAGCGAGGAAGAACGCCUAGUGGUUAAUACCCAUUAGGAAAG